ACUGAAUGUAGUGAUUUAAUGAUAAGUUUCCAAAUAGUAUCAAUUCUAAUAUCAGAAAGAAAUCACUCUAGGAAUGAAACUCCACCAUAUGACACUAAGCCUACAAGUUUUCUGAUUUUGGUUAAUAUCAUGAUUUUCAGGAACCUAACCCUGAUGUUAAAUGAUGACUCGUGUACUGGAUUUACCUUUGUAUAUUAUUAUUUUUUAAUCCUAUUUGUGAUAUCCCAAAGUAUAGGAAUUUUAUAUUCAAGUAUAUCAUUAAAUCUAAUAUAAAAAAAAUAUUGUUUUAAGGAGCUCUUGACAUCAUAUAAGCAACUUUGUUUAUUAUUUUUUGCUGUUCAUGAAAUUUAACAUUUAAUUAUAGAUUGAUUAUAUCAUAUACUGCCAUUUUAAAAUUUUCUUCUUAACACAUUGAUAUCAGCUAUAGGAAAAUUUCGGGAUUUCAUUG
RNAcentral lists this long non-coding RNA (448 nucleotides) under Androctonus crassicauda. The record is from RNAcentral. Lineage: Eukaryota; Metazoa; Arthropoda; Arachnida; Scorpiones; Buthidae.